RNAcentral lists this transfer RNA (69 nucleotides) under Ictidomys tridecemlineatus (thirteen-lined ground squirrel). RNAcentral describes it as "Spermophilus tridecemlineatus (thirteen-lined ground squirrel) tRNA". It matches the Rfam family "tRNA". From Rfam's summary of the family: Transfer RNA (tRNA) molecules are approximately 80 nucleotides in length. Their secondary structure includes four short double-helical elements and three loops (D, anti-codon, and T loops). Further hydrogen bonds mediate the characteristic L-shaped molecular structure. tRNAs have two regions of fundamental functional importance: the anti-codon, which is responsible for specific mRNA codon recognition, and the 3' end, to which the tRNAs corresponding amino acid is attached (by aminoacyl-tRNA synthetases). tRNAs cope with the degeneracy of the genetic code in two manners: having more than one tRNA (with a specific anti-codon) for a particular amino acid; and 'wobble' base-pairing, i.e. permitting non-standard base-pairing at the 3rd anti-codon position. Lineage: Eukaryota; Metazoa; Chordata; Mammalia; Rodentia; Sciuridae. The record is from Rfam by way of RNAcentral.
GGGGUUGUGGCCCAGUGGUAUGGCACUUGUCUGGCAUACAUGAGGCACUGGAUUCGAUCCUCAGCACCA